Non-coding RNA from Arachis ipaensis, 1176 nucleotides. Lineage: Eukaryota; Viridiplantae; Streptophyta; Magnoliopsida; Fabales; Fabaceae. The record is from RefSeq and is a predicted model, not a curated record.
CUAAUCCCCUCUAACCCUAACAGCCACCAAAACCCUCCCCCAACACCCAGUAGCAGCAACGCUGCAAUAAGAAAGAAAAACGAAGCAGAAAGGAAGAGAGAGUCAGAGAGCUGCGGCAGGAGAGGAAGAGAGGGAUGAGCCAACGCUGGUGGGCCUCGUCGCCACCGCCAAGCUGCUCGCCACUCACCGCCAUCGUCGCUGGUGUGACGCGGAGGAGGGAGCCAGAGGAGAAGAACGGCACCGUUCCUCGUCACGGCCAAAGCUCACCGCGUCGCCGUCGCACUCACCGCGUCGCGCCACCGCUGUAGUCCUUGUCGUCGCCGUCCUGUGGAGCUGCCGCCGGACUGCUGUGCGUGAGGAGCUCGUGAUGUCCCCACCAUUGACGUUGCGGAGGAGAGAGCCCAAAGGAGAGAGACUGCGCGACAAUGAGGGAGGAGGACACGGGCUAGUGACGCGAGGAGCGCGACUCGCUACGCUGCCGUGUGCUAUCGCCGCCGUCGAGCUCCCAUGGCAACCACCGGCAAGAUUCAAAAGAGAGAGAAGCUCGAGGAGAGAGAGAGAGAUCGGCAGAGGGAGGGUUUCUGUUCGUGCAGCCGUGCCUCCCUGCCUUAGAUUCCUCACCGUCUCCACUGUUUUUCACCACCGCUGAUGUUGUCCGUCGCCGUUGCUUGCCAUUCGGAGCGACUACAUCGCUGUUUCUGCCGUUCUGCUCACCGGGUGUGGCGCGGUUGUUGCGGAACCAUCGCCGAAAUUUCUGGCCGCUUUUGCCGCUUGAGACCCUGCUGCCGUCGCCAAAAAAUUUUGUCGGUCGCCGCUACCGCUUGAGGUGGCUACCGGGAUGUCGUCGAACUGGUUCAGAGCCCGACACUAUUUCAUUUCGCUAGUUCAAGCUGUUUAUGCUGCCGCAAAAAUGUGUGGGGCUGUGAUUUGAAGCUGACGUUGAUUUUGGGUCGAGUCAAAAGGAUUUUUGAGAGGCGUUUGGACUAUAGUUUCAAUUUGUCGAGGUCUUUUUUUUUCAGGUUACGAACGACGAAGUUCGGAAGAGUUUAUUUCUUUUCUGUUAGACGAUGUUUCUGUAUUGUUUUAGUAUUUAUGUUUUCCUUGCCUUUAACUCUGCAAGUUUUGUAAGAGGGAUAGGAUUUUGAUAUGAGAUGCUCGUAAAUUAAUAUGUAUAUA